Molecule: long non-coding RNA, 1254 nt
Filed under: Ananas comosus (pineapple)
Lineage: Eukaryota; Viridiplantae; Streptophyta; Magnoliopsida; Poales; Bromeliaceae
Description: long non-coding RNA (ACOM_LNC018161)
Source: RNAcentral
CAAACUACCCUUUACCAACUCACUUUUCCACCUAGAGUAUCGGUACUCAGCUUGAAUAUCGGUACUCGACCCCCCAAUCCGCAGUCUCCCAAGCUGGAUACCGGUAUCAGUCCGAUGCAGUACCGGUACCCGAGCUCGAUACCGGUACUUGACAACAGGUACCAAUACUCAGUAUCAGACAUGCGCAAACCCGAGAGCACUCAGUUCUGCAAUAUCACUGGGGUAUUGGUACUCCUCUCAAGUACCGGUACUCAACACUAAAAUUCUACACUUUACAGAUUUCAGCGUCGGAAUCCUACUCUCGCAUCGCGCUGAGUCCCUUUUGCGUCUAUUUCGCGUUAAAACGACUCCGACUUGUCUCGACACCCACUAGAUGUGUCGACAAGCUACAGAUGCUUAAGUCACACAGACUGCUACACACCAGGGACGCUACAAAAUUAAAAUAAUUGUUACGUGUAUUUGUACAUACGCUCAACUAGUAUAUAUAUAAGCACAUAUUUUAAAUUUCGAUGUGUCGACAAACCCAUUUCAAAAUUUCUCUUUUUCGUAUGCAAAAUAAAUAACGUAACGAAACAAACUUUUAGUUCCUCUUUUUUCUCCAACUAUUAAUAUUUUACUUUUUAUUAAAUAUUUUUAUCUUCAAUAUCUUUUCUUUUUAAAAUAAAUAUUUAUAUAUUAUCUCUAUUCUAUCUACUAAUAAUUUAUUGUUAUAUUAACUUUUUAAUUUAGAUACUUUUAGUUUAAAAGGGCAAAACUGACACUUGGUGACUUGCUAAAGGGGACCACUUAAGAGUUGCAGGUUUAUCUCUUAGAAUAAGAUACCUGUCUGUCUCCGAGAUCAAUCAUAGGAUUCUUUCCCCGUUCCUCUUCGAUUGAUUUUUCUUCUCCUACAAAUAUCGAAGGAAAGACAAGGGAUUACACAUUAAAUGAUAAGUGGAGAUUAAAAAGAUGAAACAUUGAGUAGAGAUAGAAUCAUGUAAAAAUAUUAAUUGAAAGGUAGGGGUUAAAAAGAUGAAGUAUUGGGUGAAGAUGGGACUAUAUAAAUAAAUUAAUUGAUAGGUGGAGGUUAGAAAGAUAAAGCAUUUAGUGAAGAUGGGAGUGGGAAGAGGGAAGCCAACGGUGAAGGAGGAUUCGCCACGUGGCAAAAAUUUAGGAGAGAUAAUGUAUAGGUAUAGAUACAGAUAUAGAUAAACAAGGAUUCAAAAUUAAGUUUAAAAUCUGAAUUGGAAUUCGAAAUUAAAUUAUAAUUUGAAC